Molecule: unclassified non-coding RNA, 2739 nt
Filed under: Leptinotarsa decemlineata (Colorado potato beetle)
Lineage: Eukaryota; Metazoa; Arthropoda; Insecta; Coleoptera; Chrysomelidae
Description: zinc finger protein 480-like, transcript variant X4
Source: RNAcentral
CCCCAUCAUGUGAAAAACAGUGUUGAGCAACCAAAGUCAGAGGAUAGUAAAAAAACUUCAGAUCAAAAUCAUGAAUGUUUCUGAAAAAAAGACAGACUCCUCAUGGAAAACUCAGUGCCUUCCAACUCAGACCAAUAUCAGUCUUUUUUCAUCAAAACAAAGUACAAAGAAUGAUUUUACUGAAAUUACAAAACCUGCAAAGAAAUCACGGCACACUCUGGCACCCUUACAAGGUGACAGUCAGACUGUUUUCAAUCCAUCAACAACAAGCAGAAUUAUGACGAAUCCACAAGUUUCUGGAGCUACUACAAAUAGUAUAUUUGUUUUACCGCAAAAUUCAGGACACCAGACAAUUCAGUGUGAAGACAAAACAUUUGAACUUAGUGAUUUAUACUCCCACUCUGACAAUUUUAUUAACCAGGAAGAUAUAAAGCGCUCCAAAAAAAGAAAUGAAAUGAGAUGUCGCACAUGUUUGGAUAUUGUCCCAAAUCAGUUGGAACAAGCUUCUAUCUCAAUGUUAUGUUUCGAAGGGAUAUCUGUGAAAGAAGGUUUGGUGCAACUUGUGCCUGAAAUGAACUCUACCCUAGCCGAUGAUCAGUUUGUUUGUCCCAUUUGCUUUUUAGUAUUAAGAAAGACUUUGAAGUUUGUGAAGCAGUGUCAGAAAUCCGAAAAAAUUUUAGCAGUAUCAAAUAAUAUUGUUAAGGAUGAUACCCAUAAACUGAAAGAGGAAGUGACCAAUACUGAAUUAGAUCGUUCUGAAUUAAAAACUAAAUUAAAUAAUUUUGAAAAAACAUGCUACAAAGAAGAUUUUCAUUGUGAUGAAUAUGAAUUUGAUGAUGAUAUCAAUUUUGAUGAAGAUGAUGUCAGUGACGAAGAUGGCUCACUAUUUGAGUUCGAUCCUAAAGUGGAAGAGCAGGAUUAUGUUUUGAAUGGUAUUGCUGAUUUAUUAAGAACAGAUGAAGACAAGAAAUCCUCAAACUUUCACAGAAAAUCAGAUCUAUUCAAUGGAGUGAUGAAACACGUGAAUUUUUUACCUUUAGAAUACGCUAAUGUUCGUGAUCAUGAUAGCAUAGUUUCCAUUGCGAAUUUGCAACCUGAUUUCAUUUAUUCGUUACAAAGAAGUAAAGUCAGGCUUAUAGAAAGUUGUUCAAAGUUCGAUGAGAAUAUAUUUGAAAACAAACGCGUGCUUUUGCUUGGAAAUUACACAGAAAUUAAGUGUCUCUUGUGUGAAGAACAUUUCAUUACGGAAGAAAAAAUGCAGGCCCAUCUAGAAGUUGCUCAUGGCCUAUCUAAAGCUUUUCUUAUGGAGGCACAUUGUUAUCAUCACAUACCAGGCUCUACAAAUGUAUGCAAAGCUUGUGGAAAAGACUUUGGAAGUGAAGAAAUUAAAAAAGUUCAUUCAAUAACCUGUUUCCUGUUUCCGUGUCCUUACUGUGAUGAGAUGAUGACUCCACUUGAAUUGUCAAGUCAUACUUCAAAUAAACAUCUUGAUUCUAAUCCCUUCAAAUGUUUGUACUGCAGACAAGAGCAUGACAACUUCAUGAAAUUCACAUCACAUUUGUGUUAUGGUAUUUUGUGUGAAACUUGCGGUAAACAUUUUGUGGCUAAGAAUAGUUUUCUUUUGCACAAAGAAGAGUGUCCUUCUAGAGAAGUUAUCAAAAAGUGCAUCGAGUGUAAAAAGAGGUUCAGUUUGAGUUCUUUCCAAAAUCAUGUCAAAACUCACGAACUCCCAUGUUCAAUUUGCGGAAAAAUGUGUCCUAAUAGAACUGUACUAUGUAGCCAUGAAUAUAAUCAUCAGAAGAAAGGUAGCCUGUGCCCUUUAUGUGGCAAGGUUUUCUCUCAUUUAGCACAGCAUAUGAAUGUUCACAAAGAAAUUAAGAACAAGAAAGUAAAAUGCUCUCUGUGUCCCAAAUCUUUCAUUAGCAAAACCAGACUCGAAAGACAUGAACAGUCAUAUCAUAUGACCACAAGAAUUGUUUGUGAAAGAUGUCACAAAAUUUUCACUGAAUACACUAUUGAAAGUCAUUAUGAUUUAGAGCAUCCUAACGAAACCGAGUUCAAAUGUGCCAAAUGUGACAGUAGCUUCACAAAUAUAGUCCUCUUUAAACAUCAUGCUAAAUGGCAUGAUUUAGAGAACAGGAAAGAACUAAAAAGGAAUAUAAUGCGUAAAAGACCUAAAAAGCGAAGGGGGCGUAAUCCAGGAAAGAUUGCCAAUUUCACUAUGCUGACCCGACUCAUCUUAGACUCAAGACACUUUGGGCUCAAAUGAAUUCAAACACAACAAAAAUGUAUGCUAUUGCUUUGUGAGCAUUCUGCAACCAAUAUCUUUGUUUGAGGUGUCAUUUUUGAGUUCCGAAGGAAAUUGCAUUUCAUGUAGAAAGUGGACCAUUAGAAUAUUUAAUUUUCAGUUGAUUGAGCUUUUUUACAACAGCAGGUUAUGGUCAAAAUGAUUGUCAAUGGUCAAAUCCUGGUGUAGGACUAUUAACCUACGCAAUGAUUGUUGCAAAAUCAUGGACAGUGAAGAAGAACUAGAUGCACAUAUGCAAUGUUAUGCUCCUGCAAUGAAGUACCAGUGUGGAGAAUGUUUUGAGCUAUUUUGUACGGAAUAUCGGCUUCAGUCUCAUCUGAUAAAUAAGCAUACUGUAGAAGGUGAAGUAGAGAAAGACAGAACAGUUAUGUACACCUAGGAAUAUGAAUUUGCAAAAAUAAACAAUAAAGAUAAUAAUAAUAUAUCAAAUA